CCUACGGGUGGCAGCAGUCGAGAAUCAUUCACAAUGGGGGAAACCCUGAUGGUGCGACGCCGCGUGGGGGAAUGAAGGUCUUCGGAUUGUAAACCCCUGUCAUGUGGGAGCAAAUUAAAAAGAUCGUACCACACGAGGAAGAGACGGCUAACUCUGUGCCAGCAGCCGCGGUAAUACAGAGGUCUCAAGCGUUGUUCGGGAUCACUGGGCGUAAAGCGUGCGUAGGCUGUUUCGUAAGUCGUGUGUGAAAGGCGCGGGCUCAACCCGCGGACGGCACAUGAUACUGCGAGACUAGAGUAAUGGAGGGGGAACCGGAAUUCUCGGUGUAGCAGUGAAAUGCGUAGAUAUCGAGAGGAACACUCGUGGCGAAGGCGGGUUCCUGGACAUUAACUGACGCUGAGGCACGAAGGCCAGGGGAGCGAAAGGGAUUAGAUACCCGGGUAGUC
RNAcentral lists this ribosomal RNA (446 nucleotides) under uncultured bacterium. Its description in RNAcentral is "partial 16S ribosomal RNA". It matches the Rfam family "Bacterial small subunit ribosomal RNA", at positions 338 to 795 of the family's 1533-position model. The record is from RNAcentral.